AAGAGCAUAGUUUAAGGGUAGAAUCUGAAGCUUCAAACUUCAUCGUCUCAGUUCAAAUCUGAGUGCUCUUG
This 71-nucleotide transfer RNA is filed under the name Lachnellula occidentalis. It matches the Rfam family "tRNA". From Rfam's summary of the family: Transfer RNA (tRNA) molecules are approximately 80 nucleotides in length. Their secondary structure includes four short double-helical elements and three loops (D, anti-codon, and T loops). Lineage: Eukaryota; Fungi; Ascomycota; Leotiomycetes; Helotiales; Lachnaceae. The record is from Rfam by way of RNAcentral. RNAcentral also lists the same sequence under 5 other names.